UGUCAUGCCGUCAGCAUUUACUGUUGCCAGGAAGUUCAGGACUGCAGGACGAGUGUUGAAAUUCUCCUUCUCCUGACUGCGAUCGGACAUUGACUUCAACUGCAGGCAUGAAGUUAUUACAAUACCCCAACAGUUACACUGAGGAUUCUGUCACUCAACCCACACCAGUUUGGAUUUGGAGCAUGAAACUCAAAGGGAGAGAAACAGCAGCAGCAGGAAGGGUUAAAGCGAAGGCGCAGCAGUGAUAUGAAAAACAACUACAAGAUCUGAAAGGAACUAGACAGGCACUUGAUGAAGCAAAACUGAAACCAGUAAGAAACCAUCAGAGCACAGCUGCAGUGAUAGCCACCAGCCCUGUUGUCCCUGUCCUGGAUUCAAGAGAUCCGGGAUUCAGGUGUGAAAGUGGAGACCCGGUGGCAGAAGUCUUGAGUCUGCGAGUCCACUGGGGAAUUCAGAGCCCAAAGACUGUGAGUCUGUAAGUCUGCUGGAGGCUAGAAGCCCGGAGACAGCCUGAUCUGAGGUUGGAAGCUAGAGGCCCAGAGGCAGCCUGACCUGGGAUUGGAGGCCCGUCUGCAUGUGUUAGAUGGUGUUCCUGGUGCAACCUCCUCUACAUCGGUGAGACCCAAUGCAGAUUAGGGGACUGCUUUGUUGACUUCACGCUGUUUACCACAAAAGGGCGUGCCCUGAGUUCAAGCCUGGAAUUUGGGGUCCAGUCAUUGGCCGUUCAGGGCGUUCAAUACCAAAGAUCGAAGCGCGAAGGUCGAUUGGAAGUCUGGAAGUAAAGCCCGAUGACAAAGGCUGGGGGCUGGAUACUGGAGAUUGGAGUCUUGUUCUGGAGUUGGAGUUCCCAAAUUGGUGUGGCAUGAUUCUAUGGAUUGAAAUGGAGAUUCUUGCAAGAGGUGGCUGGCAGGACAUUUACAUGGCCCAUUAAUUGAAAGAUGGAAAUAUGACAAAAUGUUUGGCAUCAAUGGGCCAAAUGGCCCAAUUCUGCUCCUAUAUCUUCUGGUCUUGUUUAAGGAUGGAUGUGCACGUGCUCCUUGGGAGGAAAGGUACCUGUUCCUGCAUUCUGCUUUUGUAGUUUUGUAGAACUCUUAACUACGAAACCAUGUUAGCUGAUGUUUGUUAACACAGUAGAAACAAAGAAAAAAAACUGCCCCCACUCUCUGUUCUGCGGGAAUUGCCCCCUUCUCAGUUCCCUUGUCCAUUCGUCCCUCCCGACGAAUCUCCAUCCAGCCACUUAUCCCUGCAAGUGGCCUAAGUGCUACACCUGCCCAUACACCUCCUCCUUCACCUCCAUUCAGGGCUGCAAGCAGAUCUUCCAGGUGAGGCGACACUUCACUUGCGAAUCUGCUGGAGUCAUCUACUGUGUCCAGUGUUCCCGACGCAGCCUCUUCAGCGGCAGUGAGACCUGUCAUAAACAGGGUGACUGCUUUGUUCAGCACCUCCGCACUACCCGCCAGAAGUAGGACUUCCCAGGGACCAAACAUUUUAAUUCCCAUUCCCAUUCCUCAUCCGAUGAACUUUGAUCCAUGGUCUCCUCUUGUGCCAAGAUGAGGCCACGCUCAGGGUGGAGGAGCAAUAUUCAAUCCAUGGACCCUUCAACUUGAUGGCACGAGUAUCGACUUCUCCUUCCGGUAAACAAAUCCCCCCACCACCCCUCUAUUCCCCACUCUGACCUUUCACUUCUUUUCAUCUUCCUAUUACUUCCCCCUGGGUCCCCUCCUCCUUCGUUUUCUUCUAUGGUCCACCCCCCUCUCUUAUCAGCUCUUGAGCUUUCCCACCCACCUGGCUUCACCUGUUAUCUACCAGCUAGUCUUCUUCCCUCCCCCCACCUUUUUAUCUUUCCUCCACCCUCUGGGGGCAUGCCUUAUUCUGAUUGUUGAAUGUCGCUGCCAUUGUGAUUGGUUAGUUUAGAAGCUCUAGCUGUUUUUCCCAUUGGAUAGAUGGCUGGUGUCCAGUUUUAAGUAUCCUGGGUAUAUAAAAUAGCCCGUGGAAGGGGCUUGUUCUCUUCUUCCUUUGUUUGAGGUGAGGCCAUUGGGAAAGUCUGAUCAGUGCAUACUUUUAACUAAGUAUGUUUGUAGAGUGAGCGUAUGUUUGUUGAGUAUUCAGCUUUGUAUUGUCUGUA
Molecule: long non-coding RNA, 2125 nt
Organism: Mobula hypostoma (lesser devil ray)
Lineage: Eukaryota; Metazoa; Chordata; Chondrichthyes; Myliobatiformes; Myliobatidae
Exons: 6
Source: RefSeq, a predicted model, not a curated record